RNAcentral lists this ribosomal RNA (286 nucleotides) under Halolactibacillus alkaliphilus. RNAcentral's name for it is "23S rRNA. Bacterial LSU". It matches the Rfam family "Bacterial large subunit ribosomal RNA", at positions 2638 to 2925 of the family's 2925-position model. The record is from RNAcentral. Lineage: Bacteria; Bacillati; Bacillota; Bacilli; Caryophanales; Bacillaceae.
CUAUCCGUCGUGGGCGUUGGAAGUUUGAGAGGAGCUGUCCUUAGUACGAGAGGACCGGGAUGGACAUACCGCUGGUGCACCAGUUGUUCCGCCAGGAGCAUAGCUGGGUAGCUACGUGUGGAAGGGAUAAGUGCUGAAAGCAUCUAAGCAUGAAGCCCCCCUCAAGAUGAGACUUCCCAUCUGUAAAGAGUAAGAUCCCUCAGAGACGAUGAGGUAGAUAGGUUCGAGGUGGAAGCAUGGUGACAUGUGUAGCUGACGAAUACUAAUCGAUCGAGGACUUAACUAA